Molecule: non-coding RNA, 2087 nt
Organism: Plutella xylostella (diamondback moth)
Lineage: Eukaryota; Metazoa; Arthropoda; Insecta; Lepidoptera; Plutellidae
Source: RefSeq, a predicted model, not a curated record
UAUAACUGCACGGCUAGUAUGGCCAUAAUAAGACAACAUGUGAAGUGACUGAUUAAAUUGAGUCACUUUUUGAUAUCAGUCUUAAAUGUUAGCAUAGGGUGUACAUGGGACUCAUUUUAUUUGUGUGAUUCGGCAUUAGUCCCAGUGACACUGUAACUUUUCUGCUCUGUGCAAAUAGGUUUUUCAAAUGUUAUUUUUUUCCGAAAAUCUCUCAUUUGUGGUUGUUGUUUGUAUUGUCUAUGGUUUUUUGACAAUUAAAAUGUCACCAAACGUCAAACUUGAAGAAAAUUUUGACUGUUUGGUGCUUUCGAGAGUUUCGAGUGUAAUGAACUGUAAUGUUUUGGUAAUAUUACUUUGCUUUGCGCUACCCCAUGGAUUCAUAUUGGCUCAUUAAACUACUUUAUUGAGUUUCUUGGACAUCGUCUCAUCAAAUGAUAUACGACCAAGCUUGCUCCCGACCAAGCACGCUCAGAUUCCUUGGGAGCUCCUGCUAUCGGCAGCCGUCGAUGCAUCGGAUCCCUGAGACGAAGAACAAAAACAGCAUGCCACCUGACUGAUGACCCACCCACUGUCUACCCGGACCCAGGAGCUAGAAGGCCUUGAGAAAAAAGCCCGGGCAGGAUCCUGAUGGGCGCAGCAGAAUAUCAUCGAUGCAUGUCCCACGGCCUGACUGAAUAAUAUUUAUAUAAUCAAUGGAAGGAAAAAAACAGUUAAGAACAUUGAAAUUGGCUUGUAGGCAAGACGGAAGAUGGUCAAAACCGGUCAGAAAUUGAUGGCCUAGACACGGUUGGAGAGCUCUUGUUGGCAGAAACCACCUGAAGAUGGUCAGAUGACAUCAGCAACCUUGUGGUGAUACAAUGAACCCGAGCGGCACCGAACUGAAAAAGUUGAAGAACUUGGCAUACAUACUAUGAGACCCAUUUUAUGACUGAUAUAAGCCAAGUUCAGACUGAUUAUUGUGAUAGUUGAUAACUAAGAAUACCUAAAUAUGCUUUUAUGGUGUGUGAAAUAGUAUACUUUUUAUAAUUUAUUAAUUAAAAGUUUAAUAAAUGUUUUACUUACCUAAAGAAAAUAUUAUAUUUUUAUAACCGUUUAAUUUAGUUGUACAUGCUAGCAUACCCACUUAUUUUUUUAUAGUUAGUGUGUAGUUGAUAAAUAAUAAAGCCUGACUAGGGUUUGUCACUGUGGUGAAAGGAUUAGUCGCUGACUACCCAGUGUGCGGAUUAGAAUCAGUCGCUGACUACCCGGUGUGCCGGAUGUAUUCAAUGUACAGUUUAUAUGAUUUACACUUCAUGAACUCCACAUUUAGCAUUCAAACUAUUCAAUUAGCCACUUCAUUACCUAAAUACUUUGACGUGAAUAGGCAAACUUAAAGUAUAAGUAUGGGAGACAACUGAAAAUCUGUGGUUUGUUCCUAAGGGCAAACAUAUGCGCUGAGUUGCUUCCCUUUUGGUCUGCUUCAACACACACAUUUCGCCUCUUAAUUUAACUGUACAAAUGUUUAAGUGGAACAAAUUAAUGUCUAUCUAACUUAUUAGCACAUGUCAGCGACAGGAUUUGAAUCCACAUCUCUUCCGUGAGGGGCGGGCGCUUACCCGUCUGAGCUAACACCGCUACAUAUAAGUAAAAGAUAUAUAAUUUUAGUCAAAUAAAAAAGAGGAUGUGUGUUUUGACAAAUGUUGUUUUUGAAGCAUUUUCAAUGGGUUAUUAGAGUCCCAGAUCAUCCUCCCUAUAAGUAUUAUAGUAAUUUUCCUUUCCUGCAUCUCUUCUUGUAGAGCAAGGAUGAAAUUAACAAAAACUAAACAAAUAAUAAUUUGUGUCACAUGUUAUCACCACCUUCGAACUUGAGUGAUAUAAUGCUACCUAAACAAAUGUCAAACUGAGACAUGUGUGGAUAAAUUGGUACACCCAUGUUAGGAAAUAAGACAAAUCUUCCAAUCUCGCUGUCAAAAUUGUAACUCACAUCUUGUAGUGAUUAUUUCGUGUUGGCCAUGUUAGCGUUUGUGAGGACAACUGGUAUCACACAAUUUGUUGCAACUAGCUGUCAUUUAUAUCUUGUCACCGCCAUACUGUGCUACGCGUGCUGG